Molecule: ribosomal RNA, 253 nt
Filed under: uncultured bacterium
Lineage: Bacteria
Description: partial 16S ribosomal RNA
Rfam family: Bacterial small subunit ribosomal RNA
Source: RNAcentral
UACGAAGGGGGCUAGCGUUGCUCGGAAUUACUGGGCGUAAAGGGCGCGUAGGCGGCACUGUUAGUCAGGCGUGAAAGUCCUGGGCUCAACCUGGGAACUGCGCUUGAUACGGCAGAGCUAGAGGAUGGAAGAGGGUCGCGGAAUUCCCAGUGUAGAGGUGAAAUUCGUAGAUAUUGGGAAGAACACCGGUGGCGAAGGCGGCGACCUGGUCCAUUACUGACGCUCAGGCGCGAUAGCGUGGGGAUCAAACAGG